Glossina fuscipes is the source of this 2760-nucleotide long non-coding RNA. RefSeq lists it as uncharacterized. The record is from RefSeq and is a predicted model, not a curated record. NCBI's taxonomy places the organism in Eukaryota, Metazoa, Arthropoda, Insecta, Diptera, Glossinidae. The transcript has 3 exons.
UGGUUCCUGCAGAGCUCAGGAAAAGACGCACCAAAUCCUCAAAUACUAUCAGAAAUAUUCUUCAAAUUUCUUAUCAAAUCUGUUGGUUUAAAUGUCUACAGAUAGAGUGAAAUUGGAAAUGUUUGGCUGUCUCGACGAGAAAAUGAACUAAAACAGUGCACCUAACAAUAGAACAAUUAAACUGUGCUGAACUAGCGAUUACUAAGGAGCCGUCUUGGUAAGUCAUUUAAUUAAUUCACUAUAUUUAUCCUAAAACUUCGUUUAUGUAAAAAUUAAAGGGGUGAAGACGUUUUAAUAAUCAAAAAAAAAAAAAAUUGUAUUCUUGACAUUUUUUUUUGGACGGAAGAGGAGAUAGCAGAAUACUAAUAUUCAAUAAAGUUAAGCAAAAGAAAUCUUUAUGAAAAAUAUUAGCAAGACGGAGAACCAUUUUCCCAAGACCUGUUUAUGUUGAGCGACUAUGCAGCAUAUUUUCUUUCUUUGAAGACCUUCCACAACUAAGUGGGAUCUGUCGAAACAUUCAGAUAUUCUUUUUUCAACAAUAUAGAAAAAUGUUGUAUCUUUUCUCCUUCGUUUUCAGCCCGUGGAAAAGAUUUGCACACUUUGGAAAACUUCUACCUAUUUUCUUCAUAUUAAGAUGACUGUUCCAUCCUACUGCUGUAUGCGUACGUGUUGCUGAAGCGAUAUCAGCUAGAAUUGGGAAAAAUAUGAAAGCAAUGUUUUUUCUCUCUUCCUUUGUGGAACAUACUAAUAAGAUAUUUUUAGAGUAGAACGUGAACUUAGCAAAAGUCAUAAUUUUACUUCUAGCAAAGUUCCAAAAUUUCUUUGGUGGGAGUUGAAUGGAAGCUUUCAAGACUUUGAGGGCGAAAUUUAAAUGCCAUUAUAUAUCGUAAUGUAGAGGGGAACGUUUGAGAUCAUCAGACCACAGUUUCUACCCAUCCAUCAAAAAUGCCUAUCACUAUUUUUGAAAAGUAUUCAGAUUUUUCCGUUUAAAUUUGUCGGGCGCUCUGAAACCAGGAAUUUUCUUUUCAGCUUAACAGCAUCUUAACCAUAUUUGUACAAUUUUUAAUACCAAUAUUUUUAAUAGGUAGAUCCUUUCAACGAUUUUAGUUUACCUAAAUCCAAAUAUUUUUUCGUUUUUAAAAUGUAAAUUUUAAUACAUUUAGCCAAUCGUACAUAACGGAUACUAUGUUAUGUGUGAGGAUAAUUCCAUAUCCAAGCUUAGCUUUUCGCCCUUCUUCUAUCCUUUCAUAAAUAAUGUUUCAUAUAAAAUAGAAUUGAAAUUUUUAGAGAGACUUGUAAUUAAAAGGUCUCUUAUGUAUUGAAAUUUUUUGAAAAUAAAUUAGUUCUCUCUAGAAAAUCUUUAGAAUAUCUUUGCUCUAGAUGGAAAUUAAUGUAUAGCUUGAAGUAUUUCUAUACGAAAGAAAAAAAAGCAGAAAAUUCAAAACGCAGCGCUUUUCUUCUUAGAAUACUUACGUUGGGUCUUGGAAGGUUAUCUUAAGAAAAUCUAUUAAUUCUUUUUUUUAACGUUUGACAAUAAGAAAAUAAUAAAAUAAACUGACAUAAAAUAAAAAAAAAUCUUUCAAAGUGUUUUUUUUACCUGCACAUUCGCGGUAAUUCGUUUUAAGGAACGUUAAAGUGUUUUUAAAACACCUAAUUAAACUUGCGGUGAAAAGCUUAUUAUUGCAAAUUGUUUACACAUUCACGAAAGCAUUCAGUGUCAAAGAGGUUUUGGUAUAUCGUUGGAAUUUUAGCAUUGAAAAAACGUUGCAGUGAAAACUAAAUAUCUUAAGAAAUUGGGUUAAGCUGCCUUGGUUGAGACUUUUGCUAACACAACAGCAUUGUAGGGCUAAACUUCCUUUAAAGCUAAUCAUACCGCAACUAUAUUUAACAGCUAUGGCUUAAGACUAAGCAGGUGUGUAAAUCAUGUUUGCAGUUCUGCCACCCAAAUCCACCUGCAUUGUUCAUUGCGAGGAUGAGGACUCUAUAUGCGGAAAAUCGUAAUAGGAGCUGUUUGUCUAUAAAUACUGUUGCUGUUCUUUUUCUUUUUUUUUUUAAUCUCUUUCUUAAAAGCAACACACAAAAGAAGGAGAGUUGCCUUGGCUCUAGGAAUUUCGAUUUGAAGAAUGUUGUUUGCAGUACACAUCCAACGAUGUUGCAAACAAAUGAUAUUUUGAUAAAAUUCGGCCAAAUGCAGCGGAUAUUUAACUAUAAUCUCCCUUACUGCUUUCUUUUCCCGUUGAAGAAGACAGCUACGCCUUAAUCUGGUUCUAAAAACUUCAUGCUCUCUCUAUUAAUACGUUGUAGACUCGACAGUUCCUUUCAGCCAUUGAUAAUAAAUAAUGAUGAACAAUUGAGAGAGGCUUAUAAAACCAACCAGGCGCGAUUUCCAACAAGUGACCAGAGAAGCUUUACGUUGAUGUUCAAAUGCCAUUAUGACAUGCAUUAAGAUCUGCUUUCAUAAAGCUGUCGGCUUUGACCAAUAUUUUUGAGAAAUUUUAUAUAAAACGCCUAAUGCCCGCAUCGAUCAUUUCACGACAGCAAAGUUGUUUCUAUGGUUCUCUGCUACUACGAGAUCAGACAUUACUGAAGCAGGCGAUAGAAAGUAAUGCUCAAGAGGCGACUUGGGAUAAUAAUGCGUGGACAAGUUGGAUUAUGAGGUCUAUAGCACCUUGCUCUGCAUAUUUACUUAACGAAGUGGCUUGUUCGAAACAAAAUUGAAUUCGUCUGUGUAGUUGCUUUGAAAAUUUUCACUUGAGUGUU